GACGAACGCUGGCGGCGUGCUUUAGGCAUGCAAGUCGAACGCGAAAGCCCCUUCGGGGGUGAGUAGAGUGGCGAACGGGUGAGUAACACGUGGGUAACCUGCCCCUCGCAGGGGGAUAACCGGGGGAAACCCCGGCUAAUACCCCGUACGCUUGCUGGGGCGCAUGCUCCGGCAAGGAAAGGUAGCUUCGGCCAUCCGGCGAGGGAGGGGCCCGCGGCCCAUUAGCUAGUUGGUGGGGUAACGGCCCACCAAGGCGACGAUGGGUAGCUGGCCUGAGAGGGUGGUCAGCCACACUGGGAAUGAGACACGGCCCAGGCUCCUACGGGAGGCAGCAGCAAGGAAUCUUGCGCAAUGGGCGAAAGCCUGACGCAGCAACGCCGCGUGGGGGAUGAAGGCCUUCGGGUCGUAAAGCCCUGUUGUCGGGGACGAAGGGCGAAGGGUUAAUAGCCCCUAGCCUGACGGUACCCGACGAGGAAGCCCCGGCUAACUACGUG
Molecule: ribosomal RNA, 494 nt
Filed under: uncultured bacterium
Lineage: Bacteria
Description: partial 16S ribosomal RNA
Rfam family: Bacterial small subunit ribosomal RNA
Source: RNAcentral